Molecule: long non-coding RNA, 672 nt
Filed under: Zostera marina
Lineage: Eukaryota; Viridiplantae; Streptophyta; Magnoliopsida; Alismatales; Zosteraceae
Description: long non-coding RNA (ZMAR_LNC002464)
Source: RNAcentral
GAUUUCAUCAUCCAAAAUCAUUCAACAAAAUCAUCCAAAGAAAAGUGAGUGGCUAUGAAAUACUCUCCAAUAUAUAUUAUUAAAAUAGAGCCCUCUAUUAAAAUAUUAAAAUCACAUAUGAUAGAGUCUACCUCACCGCUUAUCUCUGCUGAGAAUGUCCGUUGCUUCUUCCUACGACGACUACAGUCCCAACAACUUGUUCUAACAUCUUACAGUUCAUACAAAGACAAAGAUCGAAAAAGAAGUUGAUCCUAAAACAAACAUGACGGAGGAUCGGGAUGAAGAGAAGGUUCCAUCGUUUGUAAAAUAUUCUCCAAACUAUUGAAAUCACUGCUGUCUGCCGCAUAUCUCUAAACCCUAAUAUCAAAUAUCUGAACACCACUUAUAAAGAAAGCUUCACGAUGGUCAGAUCUUUGGUUUCAUUCUUAACCGUUGAGAUUAAAAUCCAAUUUCAGGUAACCCACUGGGUCAAAAUGCUGCCCGAUGGAUAAAUCAACCCAACAACAAAUAUAUAAACAACUGAAAUCUAGCGUAAUGUCUCAUUCUACUUUUUCAUUCCGUAAGAGUUACUUUUUCUCCUCUUUGAUUCUGUUAUUGCUGUUCUUGCUUAUUGGAUUGCAUUCCAGAUUUUCUUCUGUAAAUUCUAAUCUGGUAAUUUCUUUUAAUUUUCAG